Molecule: long non-coding RNA, 234 nt
Organism: Lemur catta (Ring-tailed lemur)
Lineage: Eukaryota; Metazoa; Chordata; Mammalia; Primates; Lemuridae
Exons: 3
Source: RefSeq, a predicted model, not a curated record
GUGUGCUCUGCUGCGGAGAGACAGAGACCAACUUAAAGAGCGCCUAGCGGUCGUGGAGAGCGUCCUUAAAAAGUUGCACGCCCUUUGAAGUGAGAGAGUUGAACCCAGCAUCUUCCUACGAGACCGACAGCUGGUACCUCUGGAGCCGGCGAGCUGUGACCAGCCUGGUUCCCUUUGUUUCUUCUUCAGCCACGGCUUCUUCUAGCCCCCUGCUCUUGCCCUCACCUCACCCGA